AUGAUCAUCGUCGCCCAUGAGCCUGGACUCGACCUGGACUUAGUGGCCUUGGUACCAGUGCCUGCUAAAUUGGACAGCGUUGGCAUUACCAUGGACAUGCAGCAGAAUAACUACGAGGAUGGCAAUCCUAUACAACACAAGGACAUUCCCUCAGUACAGCUUGCCACAUCAGUUUCUGAGUGCCCUUCACCUAGUGCUUGGAAAUUCCUUCCCUGCAAAUUUCACAAAGUUGUUGCUCCAUUAGUUUGCCCGCCUCUAUUGCAAUGGAAUGAGAACCGUGUGUGGCCACCUCCCUUUCCUCCUGAUGCAAUGACACUGUGUCUGCACUUGUUAUCAUCUGCUAGUUUUGAGUUAUGCCAAUUUCGGUCGCCACCUGAUCAGUUGUAUGAGCAGAAACACACAUGCAGAUUACUGCGUAUGAGUAGUUGUGUUUUGUUUGAGCAGACCAACAAUAGCAAAGUUAUAAUCCAUGCUCGUGCAACAAGUGAAGGCAAUCAAUUGAAGCAUUUUGGUCAUUUGGGUUCAAUUGGAUGGAUGGUGUGCUACCAGGAAACAAGGGUGCUAUAUUCUUUUUAUAAUCAGUGUGGUUUUGCCUACGGACUUGUGAAAAAUGCAUGGGUGAACUCUUGGCUAGAGAUUUUGCUAUUGCGAGAUGACUGGCGACCACCUUGGCCAUUGUCAGAGUUGGUGAAAUUGUGUAUACUUGGUAUACACUGUAUGCAGGCUACCAAGGCACAUUAUGAAGCAUUUCCUUGUUUAGAACAACUUAUCACUAGAAUUUUUCUGAAUGUGUUGGUCACCUGUCCAGACAUGAAAAUUCUUCCAAUCGGUUGUGUUUCCAGUUCUCUAACAGCUGAAUUUAUGGAGGAGGGAAAUCAGUGGGCACUUUGUUCCUGUGAAAUAUAUCUAGGGCAGUACUACAGCUGCAGAAGCAUCAUAUCUGUAGAUGCUUUGAAACUUCACCUAGUGGGAGUUCUUUUUCCUUGUAUACCAGUAGUCAAACCUGACAGUAAUGGAAUGCUCAGAUCUCGUCCAUAUACAAUGCCAAGUUUUUCCCAUAAGAUGCUUAAGAGGUACAAUUCCUGCUCUACAUGGAAUUCUUUUGGAGUUGAGUUGCAGUGUGGUCUGCUGAGGACUACAACACCAUUGACAUGCAAUUAUUCUACUAAGGUUGGGUAUAAUGCUGGCAUGAUACUGAAGGGAAAUUGCUCUUGUCUUGUAGUGGUAUUCACUUGGACUUCUUAG
RNAcentral lists this ribosomal RNA (1245 nucleotides) under Triticum aestivum (bread wheat). RNAcentral describes it as "partial small subunit ribosomal RNA". The record is from RNAcentral. Lineage: Eukaryota; Viridiplantae; Streptophyta; Magnoliopsida; Poales; Poaceae.